Molecule: ribosomal RNA, 229 nt
Filed under: uncultured bacterium
Lineage: Bacteria
Description: partial 16S ribosomal RNA
Rfam family: Bacterial small subunit ribosomal RNA
Source: RNAcentral
UGCGCAGGCGGGCUUGUAAGUCAGUGGUGAAAUACUGCCGCUUAACGGUAGAACUGCCAUUGAUACUGCGAGUCUUGAAUAUGGUUGAGGUAGGCGGAAUGUGUUGUGUAGCGGUGAAAUGCAUAGAUAUGACACAGAACGCCGAUUGCGAAGGCAGCUUACUAAGCCAUUAUUGACGCUGAGGCACGGAAGCGUGGGGAGCGAACAGGAUUAGAUACCCUGGUAGUCC